UACGGAGGGGGCUAGCGUUGUUCGGAAUCACUGGGCGUAAAGCGCACGUAGGCGGAUCUUUAAGUCAGGGGUGAAAUCCCGAGGCUCAACCUCGGAACUGCCCUUGAUACUGGGGAUCUCGAGUCCGGAAGAGGUUGGUGGAACUCCGAGUGUAGAGGUGAAAUUCGUAGAUAUUCGCAAGAACACCAGUGGCGAAGGCGGCUCACUGGCCCGAUACUGACGCUGAGGCACGAAAGCGUGGGGAGCAAACAGG
Molecule: ribosomal RNA, 253 nt
Filed under: uncultured bacterium
Lineage: Bacteria
Description: partial 16S ribosomal RNA
Rfam family: Bacterial small subunit ribosomal RNA
Source: RNAcentral